CACAGAGGGACCGGAAGCCGGGAAGUUCUGAGGUCGCCGGAUGCAUCUGUGUGGGAGGCCGCGUCCUGCUGACCUCUCCCUGCUUUUCUCUGUGCUUCCAACCUGGCUCCAUCUCUCUUGUCAAGUUUCCGCAUCCUAGAGAUGGAUGCAAUGAUAACGGGCCAACUGACCGGGUGACUCUAAGUUCUAGGGUCUGCAAGUCUGCAAGUGAAGACCAUCAUUGCUGUGGCUGCCACCCUUACAGGGUACGUGACCAUGGAGUACAGCAGCCACAUUGUAUUCAUAAGGAUGAAGAUCACAUGACAGAGAGUUGGAAGGAGCUUGGGUCACUAAUGCUAUUGCUCUUCCCUAAUCCCAGAAGCAGUGCCUGCUUCCAGACUUGUGACAGCAAGAUACAAAAUUUGGAUUUCCCAUCAUCAUGAUCCCAAGGGAGAACCUCUACAGCUCUUCUCCACUCAUCAAGGUUUUGGUGACCAGAACUCUGACUUUAUUUGGUCAAAUGAGAACUUGGCAUCAUGGCUGCUGGCAGGGAAAAUCCCUGGAGAAAAAGUUUAAGGGGAGUGUGUAUCUGGCAUGAGAGAAGAAUUCUUUGCCCAUUCUAGCAGAGAGCCCCAAAGAGUCCCAUCAAACCAGGUAAAAACCCCGCCCCCAGCCAAACUUGUUGAAGAAGAUGUUCAGCCAUCCUGGCACUCAGAGACCACUGCAGCCAUGGUCUAAGGGGGCCAGGCCACUGUUAGAGCUGGUAGCAGGCCUUGGCAUUAUCCAUGUGGUGCUUCUAGAGGUUAAAUUUCUUGCCUUUGUUGAAAGGCUGUUUUCCCCAUUGAAUUUUCUUUAAAUCAUUAUGGAAAACUCAUUAUCCAUAUACUUGUAUCGUAUGAGGAGAGCCUUGAAGAACUCUUCCUUUUCCACUGAUACCCAUGUUUAUCCUUAUGCCAAUACAACACUUUCUUUUUCUUUUUUUUUUUUUGGUACAGGGGAUCAAACUCGGGACCUUGCGCUUUCGAGGCAGGUUGCAGAACCACUGAGCUAAAUCCAUGGCUCAAUAUAGCACUUUCUUUUUGAUCAUAUCUUGAAAUCAGUGUGACUUAUUCAACUUUGUCCCUUUUCAAAUUUCUUUUCUUGCCAGGUAUGGUGGCACAUACCUGUAGUCCCAGUAUGCAGGAGGCUGAGGCAGGAAGAUUGCCAGUUGGAGGCCAGCUUGAUUUAUGUAGUGGGUUCAAGACUAGCCUGAACUACAUAGAGAGACCCUGUCUCAAAAAACAAAAAAAUCUUUUCUUAUAAACAGUGGUUUAUAGAAGAGUUUUUUGACAAACUUCUCUUCCAAAAAUAACAGUUGCCUCUUACAAAUAAUUCAUACACUUUAAAAUCUUGUGCUAUCUGUUCACAUAGAUUGAUUAUAUCUAGUCAGGUCUACUGAUCCGAUCUUUCCAGACUCAGCUCAGGAACUACCUCCUCCACAAAGCACUCUAACCAUUCCAACCGUAUGUGCUCUGUCUCCAUGUUUCCUAGGAUCUCUGGGACUUAAAGCCUUUGUAGCCCUCAGUGUUUUGCAUUGCAGUUGCUUCAGCUACUUGAUUUCUUCCCCACUGUUCUUUGAGCUCUCAGAAGGUAGGAUUUGAUUUGACUAAUUUCCAUGAUCCUAGCAUCACCCUCUACAGGCCUGGCAAAAAUGAGGACUAGUGAGUGUUUGUAGAAGCAAAGAAUGAAUAUAGGAAGGGAAGAAAGAAGGAGAAAAGAAAACUGGAAGGAUGAUCUGAUCUGAGGGACACCAGAACCUGAAAGUGGGGGAAAUUGUUAUCAAGCAAAAGAAAGCUGGUCAAAGUAGAUAUAAACCCAGGGUCCUCUUCCAGAGGUGGCAUUUGAUCAGACCUAAGAAAAAUGUUUGUAUGUGAAGAAACAGGUCAUGUUAAGAUGUGGGAGAAGGCGGGGAGGGGGGAAACACAUGCAAAGGCCCUGAGGCAGAAGUAUAGCAGACGUGGCUGAGGGACAAUAAGGAACCCAGUUUGGGCAGAAGAGGGAGAUGGGGGCGAGGAGUUAGGAACAGUUUGAGUAGCCUGGCAGACCAUGCUAAGGGCUCUGGCAUUUACUAAGCAUAAGAGAACCAGAGAUGGGCCCACCAAUUUAAGCUAUUACUAGUAUAUUUCAAGUCCCUUGGGGGAUGGCCCUAAGCUAAAGCCUAACACAUACUCAUUUGAUCUGUGGGUUGAUCUGGCAGGCUCUUCUGUUUCAAACAGAGUGGGACAGAGGCUGUACUUCUUGCCUUACUGUGUUCUCCAGCGAGUUGGUGUGUUCUCCUACCAUUGCUGCCAAGGGAGCUGUUGUGUCCUAAGCAAUCUUGGUUCAUGCUGCUAUAGAAGUGGCCAACCAGCUGCCCCUGAAUGGCAGCACCCACUAGGGUGCUGAAGAUCUCCAUGGCCAUGCCUGCAGGGGAUGAGGAGACACAUGCACUAGGCUCCAGGUGGCCAUUAGCUCUGACACAAGAACGGGACAGGUCAUGAAGACACCCAAGAGGUGGAGGCUUGAGGAUGCCCCAUCUCUCCCCAUCACUUGGCUUUCUUUUAAUUCUCACCCACUAUAGAACUCUAUGGCAUCCCUUUGUUUAUUCAUUUAUUUUUGAUGUUCACCAUUCUAUUUUCAGAGCCUUGAUUGCUCUUCUGCACAUAAGAACUGAGCAUUGACUUUGUUGAAUUAAUAAAAGAAUUAAUUUAAAAAUAGCUUGUGUUUGCUGAGACCUACUAUGUGCUCAGUGCUAUGCAUUUGUCAUCUCUGAUCCUCAUUAGAGCCCUGGGACUUAGAUCCUAUCUCUGGUUGCCCCAUUUUGUACAGGAUAAAAUUGAUAGCAGCUGCAGCGAACUAUCUGAGGCCACUGCUGGGAAUUGAGGAGCCAGGACUCAUGCCUGGGUCUGUCCAGCUGAACAAUGUACUGCAUCUUCACUAGCCAUAGGGUCCCUGGGCUCAGGUCAGGCUUUGUGUCCUGGGAAUCCUCUAAGGUGAGAAUGUAGAGGCAUGGGUGUCUCUCCAACUUAUAGCAGAGUCUCCAGUAACAGAGUUUCGGUUGCACUGAUUCCCUUCCAGUAACAUGGUCAGCAAGGUGUAUGGCACGUGGUAGCACUGAAGAGCAGAUUUGAGGAAGCUGGGGAUCCUUGCCUUGACUCUUGGUACCUCUGCCCCUGUUUAUAUUGAAACACAUCUGGAACAGGCAGUAUGUGACCAGGUCAAAGGCUAUACACAUUCAGUCCUAAGAUGAAUAAAUUCUGGGAACCUAAUGUAUAGCAUGAUGAUUAUAGUCAGCAGAACUGUACUGUAUACUUGAAAUAUGUGUAUAGAAUAGAUCUUAACGUUCUUAACAUACACACAAAUUGAUAAGUACUUGAGAUAUAGAUGUAUUAACUAACCUGAUUGUAGUAAUCACUUCACAAUGUGUCUACCAAAUUAUCACAUUGUAUACAUUAAAUUACACAAUUUUAUUUGCCAAUCAUCUCAGUGAAGCUAGGGAAAAAUAAUUCACAUACCAUGGUCACCCUUUAAAAAUGUGUAAUUUAGGGCUGGGGAUUUAGCUCAGUGGUGCCACACCUGCCUCACAAGGACAAGGUCCUGAGUUUGAUCCCUGGUACCGGCAAAAAAAAAAGUGUAAUUUAUUGGUUUUUAAUAUAUUUUCAGGGUUAUGCAACCAUCACCAUUACUAAUUUUAGUGUAUUUUAAUCACCUCAAAAAGAAAUCCCCAUUUUUCUCUCCCUCUAGCCCAUUGCAACCAUUAUUCAUUCUGUCUCUCUCUCUCUUUCUCUCUCUCUUUCUCUCUCAUUGGGGAUUCAACCCAAAACCUUUGACUAAGAUACAAGCCUAGCCUUUUUAUUUUUUAUUUUGAGACAGGGUCUCACUAAGUUGCCCUGACUGGGCUUGAACUUGUGAUCCUCCUGCUUCAGCCUCCUGGAAUGCUGGGAUUACAGGCAUGCACCACCAUGCCUGGCAACCACUAAUUUACUUUCUGUGUUCAUGGAUUUUCCCACUCUCAACAUUUAUACCAAUAGAAUUAUAUAGUAUGUGACCUUUUGUGUCUGGCUUCUUUCACUUAAGGUUUUCAAUAUCCAUCCAAGUUGGAGCAUGUAUCAAGACUUCAUUUUUUAUGGCUGAACAAUAUUUCAUUGCAUGGAUUUACUACAUUUUGUUUAUCCAUCUAUCAGUUGAUGUACAUGUAAAUUGUGUCCACCUUUUGGCCAUUGGAAAUCAUGUUACUAUGAAUAGUCAUGGAUAAGUUUUUGUAUGGAUACUUAUUUUCUAUUUUUGGGGGUAUAUAUCUAAAAAUGGUAUUACUAGAUAGUGGUAACUCUAUCUAAACUUUGAGGACCUGGCAGUUUUCCAAAAGUGCUGCUGGCAGCAAAGGAUGUGAGUUCUGACCACUCCCCAUUCCACCAGCACUUGUUAUUGUCUGUCUUUUUAAUUAUAGUAGGAGGCCCUGGAAGCAAAGAUGAGUUCUAUGCACCAUGACAGGUUUAUAGGGAACAAAAACAGCUUCUGUCCUUGGGGUCUGAGAGGGUGGGGGGAGGUUGAGGGCAGAGUCCAUCUGUGAAUGUAUAUAAACUUGCACAUGGGAUAGUGCAGCUGCCAGGAACUCACAGAUAAUGAGGGCUUCCUCUGUGCUAAGCACUCUUCCACAGCAUCGUAUUUUAUCUCUGCAUCAAGUUGCAUCCAAGAAGCAGAGGAGGUGGGAUGAAAAACAAGAUGAUUCAGCCCCAAAGUCCAUGCUUUCAGGCUUAAUGAUGUGCUGCCUUUUGGGCAAGUGCUCAACACUGACUGAAGGGAUGGACCUACCCCCAAGGUUUGUGUGCCACCCAGGCAGUUUAUACUGUGAGAAGGGUAAGGAUGGGGUUGUGCUCUUACUGUCCCAGAGAUGUAGGUAGCAAGGCUGUUGGAAGUUACACUGCAUUAGCACUUUGUGACCCUGGGAUUGUUUUCUAACCUCUCUGAGCUUCAGUUUCCUUAGCUGUAAAGGAGGAUGAGUCCUCAUCUCAUUGGGUGUCAUGAGGAGGAAAUGUGUGAAGGUUAGUGCACAAUAAGAAGCACCUGGCAACAUCAGCUGGGGUUUCUGUCUUCAUUUGACUUAUGGGACACAGAUUAUGCUAAGAGUUGGUGAUUAUGAGUGGGUCCUCAGCACCACUGGAGAUAGGAAUAGUCUUUGCACAGUGAGUGAAUCAAUCAGAGGCUAGGCAUCCUCCAAGUGUAUGGUGUUAGGAUACUCCAGGUCCACUGCACCCUAAGUGACAGCCCAGCCUGCAGUGCUUGGUGUGGUGUGGCCACAUCACUCCUGCAAACAAGCUAAGCUCUUUCUUGCCCAUUAUCUCAUGAGUUCAAGUCCUCCAGGGAGCCAGGAGAGGCCCCACUGUGCACUAGGCAACCUUAGUCUCUCCUACAAACCUCUCCCUUUCCUGGGUGUAGGAGAGACAUAAGACCCUGCUCCCUCACAGGGCCACUAAAGCAACAAAACAAAAUCGCAUGCAGAUUCUAUAGUGUGGAUCUUGGAUGACACCAAAGACCCAUGUGUGAAAGUCUUGUUCCUCAGGGUGGGGUGUUGGAAAGUGGUAGAAACAUUGAGUUCUACUACAUCACCUGCCUCUUAAGCACAAGGGCCUGAGUUCAAUCCCUGGUACCAAAAAAACCAAAAUAACCAAAAAACAAAAUAUUGGGCCAGAGAUUUAGCUCAGUGGUUUCGCCACCUGCUGCGCAAGCACAAGGACCCAAGUUUAAUCCCCAGUACCCUCAAAAAUAAAUAAAUAAAUAAAUUACGAACCCUCAAAACAUCACAACUAGAUUAGUAUGAUGUUCUCCAUCUUUGGAAAACUGCCUAAUUAAUAUAAUGCUGCAGUAGGAUUGUUUAGAUUUGAAUUCAUCUGUAAAG
Molecule: non-coding RNA, 5893 nt
Organism: Heterocephalus glaber (naked mole-rat)
Lineage: Eukaryota; Metazoa; Chordata; Mammalia; Rodentia; Bathyergidae
Source: RefSeq, a predicted model, not a curated record